This 253-nucleotide ribosomal RNA is filed under the name bacterium. RNAcentral's name for it is "partial 16S ribosomal RNA". It matches the Rfam family "Bacterial small subunit ribosomal RNA", at positions 524 to 776 of the family's 1533-position model. The record is from RNAcentral. RNAcentral also lists the same sequence under 2 other names.
UACGAAGGGGGCUAGCGUUGUUCGGAAUUACUGGGCGUAAAGCGCACGUAGGCGGAUCGUUAAGUGAGGGGUGAAAUCCCAGGGCUCAACCCUGGAACUGCCUUUCAUACUGGCGAUCUUGAGUUCGAGAGAGGUGAGUGGAAUUCCGAGUGUAGAGGUGAAAUUCGUAGAUAUUCGGAGGAACACCAGUGGCGAAGGCGGCUCACUGGCUCGAUACUGACGCUGAGGUGCGAAAGCGUGGGGAGCAAACAGG